This 791-nucleotide long non-coding RNA is filed under the name Homo sapiens (human). RNAcentral describes it as "HSALNT0098979". Lineage: Eukaryota; Metazoa; Chordata; Mammalia; Primates; Hominidae. The record is from RNAcentral.
AGAUGGGGUCUCGCUACAUUGACCAAGCUGGUCUCAAAAUCCUGGCCUGAAGCAAUCCUCCCGCCUCAGACUCCCAAGGUGCUGUGAUGACACGUGUGAGCCACCCCGCACAGCCCAGCUUCACCAUCUUAAGGGCACACUCCAUUAGCAUUAAGAUCUGGCAGCCUUGGCCCAAGCAAUCCCAGUGGGCGCAUCUUGGGAGCUGACUUUGGGGCCACCUUUCCCCAUGCUGCCUGGGGACCAGAGAACACUGACCGCGGGAAAGACCGAUGCUGCCGAGGCCAGGAGGAGGGGGAGGCCGUCAUCUGUGGGUCCCCAGCAGCGCUUGGGGUCCUGGCCACUCCAGCGGCCCCUUGCACCUGCCUCCAGGGAUCCUUUGUCUUCAAAAUAACCUCCCUCCACCUUCCGGCUCAUAGUGCCUUGGGUGGAUCUGUUCCCAUUUCCCACAAGCCUGCAGGGUGGUGACAGGCCCUCAUUCCCAUGUGCCCCAAGAUUUCGGAUUCCAAAAAUACAUCCCCUGGCUCCCCGGAGAAGUGUGUCACGGUGUCUCCGUUUCACCACUGACAGGGCCAAAGGAUGUGCUCUCCUCUCCCGAGCUGCCAUGGUCAAGGGCUCACCUAGAUAACCCAGGACAGUCCCCUCAUCUCACAAUGACGCCCCCAGUCGGGCUGCCGAGACCGUGCCUGCUGAGCCUAACAUUCCAAGGUUCCAGGAGCUGGGGUGUGGACGGACCUGGGGCCUGCCAUGCCCUCCAAGUGCUGCCCUGCCCCUUGAAGGCCAGGCCAGGUGAG